ACGGUAACAUUUCUAGCUUGCUAGAAGAUGACGAGUGGCGGACGGGUGAGUAAUGCUUGGGAACUUGCCUUUGCGAGGGGGAUAACAGUUGGAAACGACUGCUAAUACCGCAUAAUGUCUUCGGACCAAACGGGGCUUUUAGCUCCGGCGCAAAGAGAGGCCCAAGUGAGAUUAGCUAGUUGGUAAGGUAACGGCUUACCAAGGCGACGAUCUCUAGCUGUUCUGAGAGGAAGAUCAGCCACACUGGGACUGAGGCACGGCCCAGACUCCUACGGGAGGCAGCAGUGGGGAAUAUUGCACAAUGGGGGAAACCCUGAUGCAGCCAUGCCGCGUGUGUGAAGAAGGCCUUCGGGUUGUAAAGCACUUUCAGUUGUGAGGAAAAGUUAGUAGUUAAUACCUGCUAGCCGUGACGUUAACAACAGAAGAAGCACCGGCUAACUCCGUGCCAGCAGCCGCGGUAAUACGGAGGGUGCGAGCGUUAAUCGGAAUUACUGGGCGUAAAGCGCACGCAGGCGGUUUGCUAAGCUAGAUGUGAAAGCCCCGGGCUCAACCUGGGAUGGUCAUUUAGAACUGGCAGACUAGAGUCUUGGAGAGGGGAGUGGAAUUCCAGGUGUAGCGGUGAAAUGCGUAGAUAUCUGGAGGAACAUCAGUGGCGAAGGCGACUCCCUGGCCAAAGACUGACGCUCAUGUGCGAAAGUGUGGGUAGCGAACAGGAUUAGAUACCCUGGUAGUCCACACCGUAAACGCUGUCUACUAGCUGUGUGUGAAUUUAAUUCGUGCGUAGCGAAGCUAACGCGCUAAGUAGACCGCCUGGGGAGUACGGCCGCAAGGUUAAAACUCAAAUGAAUUGACGGGGGCCCGCACAAGCGGUGGAGCAUGUGGUUUAAUUCGAUGCAACGCGAAGAACCUUACCUACACUUGACAUGCAGAGAACUUUCUAGAGAUAGAUUGGUG
Molecule: ribosomal RNA, 954 nt
Filed under: uncultured Alteromonas sp.
Lineage: Bacteria; Pseudomonadati; Pseudomonadota; Gammaproteobacteria; Alteromonadales; Alteromonadaceae
Description: bacterial SSU rRNA
Rfam family: Bacterial small subunit ribosomal RNA
Source: RNAcentral